UAGGGUGGUUAUAGCAUUGGGGCUCACCUCUUCCCAUUCCGAACAGAGAAGUUAAGCCCAAUAGCGCCGAUGGUACUGCAUUUAUGUGGGAGAGUAGGUCGCUGCCUUUC
This 110-nucleotide ribosomal RNA is filed under the name Flavobacteriaceae bacterium. Lineage: Bacteria; Pseudomonadati; Bacteroidota; Flavobacteriia; Flavobacteriales; Flavobacteriaceae. RNAcentral also lists the same sequence under 1 other name. The record is from RNAcentral.